Molecule: ribosomal RNA, 253 nt
Filed under: uncultured bacterium
Lineage: Bacteria
Description: partial 16S ribosomal RNA
Rfam family: Bacterial small subunit ribosomal RNA
Source: RNAcentral
UACGUAGGUGGCAAGCGUUGUCCGGAUUUACUGGGCGUAAAGAGCGCGCAGGCGGUCGUUCAAGUCGCGUGUGAAAGCCCCCGGCUCAACUGGGGAGGGUCACGCGAUACUGAUCGACUCGAAGGCAGGAGAGGGAAGUGGAAUUCCCGGUGUAGUGGUGAAAUGCGUAGAUAUCGGGAGGAACACCAGUGGCGAAGGCGACUUCCUGGCCUGUUCUUGACGCUGAGGCGCGAAAGCGUGGGGAGCAAACAGG